GAUGUUAGCUAUAACUGGACUUGCAGG
Molecule: non-coding RNA, 27 nt
Filed under: Bombyx mori (domestic silkworm)
Lineage: Eukaryota; Metazoa; Arthropoda; Insecta; Lepidoptera; Bombycidae
Source: RNAcentral